This is a long non-coding RNA of Cryptomeria japonica (Japanese cedar), 519 nucleotides long. RefSeq lists it as uncharacterized. Lineage: Eukaryota; Viridiplantae; Streptophyta; Pinopsida; Cupressales; Cupressaceae. The transcript has 3 exons. The record is from RefSeq and is a predicted model, not a curated record.
UUAGAGUUUUGGAUGUUCUUGUGGGGAAGAUUUUUCUUUUUCUUCCUCUCUUUUCCUUCUUCUGAAAAUUUUGGUCUACAACUUUUCGUUUGGCUUUGGAGGAGCUUUGAUAUGGAGUUGAGGUGCUGUGGAAUUUCUGGAGCUCUUCAUUAGUUUUCAGAUUCUUUUACGCACACUCCAGAAUGGUGGUUGGUGUACUAAAACCUUGCUGGCAUUGAAUAGGAACUUUUGCAUGAACAAUUGCUCAGGUGAUUUCCUUAGAGCGGACAAUAAAGCAUUGGGAUCCCAACAUAUGCAGAUCAACUAUCCAAAGGAACUUGUCAACCUUAUCAGGCAAUGAUGGGUUCCUUAUCUAUUCUUCACAUACCCCUCUUGUUUCUUAUAUAUUUACAGUUCUAUAUUGAUGUACUUGUCUCAGCUAUUCUCAAGGCUUGUGGGAUCACAUGUAUAGUUGCUCUUUAUGAAUAAAAAUGUGUUAUAUGCAAAUGUUUCAUUUAUGUAUAUCUUUUGAUUAAAACA